Molecule: unclassified non-coding RNA, 340 nt
Filed under: uncultured fungus
Lineage: Eukaryota; Fungi
Description: partial contains small subunit ribosomal RNA, internal transcribed spacer 1, and 5.8S ribosomal RNA
Rfam family: Eukaryotic small subunit ribosomal RNA (bases 1-73)
Source: RNAcentral
GCAAACUUGGUCAUUUAGAGGAAGUAAAAGUCGUAACAAGGUUUCCGUAGGUGAACCUGCGGAAGGAUCAUUACAAAGUAACGGCCGGUCGUCCGAAACAGACCACUGUAAGCGGCGGUCGGGAGCUCCCUCCCGUCCGUCGCUGACAGGUUACCCUUUGUGAAAACGCCUCGUUGCUUCGGCAGCAUCUCUCCGUCCGCGGCGAGAAUCAGCCUGCCGACGGCAUUCUCGAAAACCCUCUCGUGAAAUCGAUCUUCGUACGUCUGAGAACGCAAGUCUAAUGACGCAUAAAACUUUCAACAACGGAUCUCUUGGUUCCCGCAUCGAUGAAGAACGCAGC